CAGUCGUACCGGCGGAUAAUCAGCCUUUCGGGUGCGAUUCUGUGGGGUUUGAGGAGCUUAACACCUUCAUGCUUUUGCAUAUUCGUGCUCUUGGGUGUACUUGCCCGUGUGGUUGGUUAACAUCAAUUUUGGUGGUCAUAAAAUGACUGGAGGAAUGUAGCUUUGGUCUCGUAUCGAAGUGUUAUAGACUCUGGUAGAUGUGAUGAUCGAGAUUGAGGAUUGCAACGGAUACCCUUCGGGGCUACCUGUCUGAUCUCUGAUCGUUGCUCUGGUGCUGAAGCUUGCUUACGGUUAUCG
This 297-nucleotide ribosomal RNA is filed under the name Rhizophagus irregularis. Lineage: Eukaryota; Fungi; Glomeromycota; Glomeromycetes; Glomerales; Glomeraceae. The record is from RNAcentral.